RNAcentral lists this ribosomal RNA (274 nucleotides) under uncultured bacterium. RNAcentral describes it as "partial 16S ribosomal RNA". It matches the Rfam family "Bacterial small subunit ribosomal RNA", at positions 523 to 796 of the family's 1533-position model. The record is from RNAcentral.
AUACGGAGGGGGCUAGCGUUGUUCGGAAUUACUGGGCGUAAAGCGCGUGUAGGCGGAUCGUUAAGUCAGGGGUGAAAGCCCGAGGCUCAACCCCGGAACUGCCCUUGAUACUGGCGAUCUAGAGUCCGAAAGAGGUGGGCGGAAUUCCCGGUGUAGAGGUGAAAUUCGUAGAUAUCGGGAGGAACACCAGUGGCGAAGGCGGCUCACUGGUCCGGCACUGACGCUGAGACGCGAAAGCGUGGGGAGCAAACAGGAUUAGAAACCCUAGUAGUCC